AGAGUUUGAUCCUGGCUCAGAUUGAACGCUGGCGGCAUGCCUUACACAUGCAAGUCGAACGGCAGCACGGGAGCAAUCCUGGUGGCGAGUGGCGAACGGGUGAGUAAAGUAUCGGAACGUGCCCAGUCGUGGGGGAUAACGUAGCGAAAGCUACGCUAAUACCGCAUACGAUCUAUGGAUGAAAGCGGGGGAUCGCAAGACCUCGCGCGAUUGGAGCGGCCGAUAUCAGAUUAGGUAGUUGGUGGGGUAAAGGCCUACCAAGCCGACGAUCUGUAGCUGGUCUGAGAGGACGACCAGCCACACUGGGACUGAGACACGGCCCAGACUCCUACGGGAGGCAGCAGUGGGGAAUUUUGGACAAUGGGCGCAAGCCUGAUCCAGCAAUGCCGCGUGCAGGAUGAAGGCCUUCGGGUUGUAAACUGCUUUUGUACGGAGCGAAAAGGCUUCCACUAAUACUGGAGGCUCAUGACGGUACCGUAAGAAUAAGCACCGGCUAACUACGUGCCAGCAGCCGCGGUAAUACGUAGGGUGCAAGCGUUAAUCGGAAUUACUGGGCGUAAAGCGUGCGCAGGCGGUCUUGUAAGACAGGUGUGAAAUCCCCGGGCUUAACCUGGGAACUGCACUUGUGACUGCAAGGCUGGAGUACGGCAGAGGGGGAUGGAAUUCCGCGUGUAGCAGUGAAAUGCGUAGAUAUGCGGAGGAACACCGAUGGCGAAGGCAAUCCCCUGGGCCUGUACUGACGCUC
Molecule: ribosomal RNA, 745 nt
Filed under: uncultured bacterium
Lineage: Bacteria
Description: bacterial SSU rRNA
Rfam family: Bacterial small subunit ribosomal RNA
Source: RNAcentral